UUUUUUUUUUUUUUUCUGUUCUUUGAUUUGCAUUUCUAUUCUCUCUUUUCUUUUAAAGAUUUUUUUUAUAAAUUUUUUCUGUUUUUUUUUGUCCUGUUUGAUGUGUUAAAUCUUGUUCGAGCUGAAACUUUAUUUUUGUAUUUGUUUGAGAUUCUCACUGUAUUGUGGUGUUAUUAUUAUUACUAUUUUAAUCUUUUGGGUGGGUGUGGGGGGAAGGAGGAGGCAUGCAAUCGAGUUCUAGAACUUCUGUUUGGUCGGUGAGAAAAUCGAGGAAAUUUAUAUGAAGAAAGGUGUUUUAUUCUGAAUCAUUUUUAUGCGUUUCCAAAGAAAUUGGGCCAGCACAGUACUCUUUUGUACCACAGUCGGACUGAAAAGCUUUUACAAUUUUAGGGUUUUUGUUUUUUGGGGCUUCAUCUAUUCAUUUGUUGCGAUACUGCUGGAAUGUAAUCAAUUGUCGAUGUGAUAAUUCUUAUUGGGCUGUUGCUAAAUCAAUUGCCAGGAAUGUGUUAUUGAAAUUGCGUUAUCUUCUUAUAGAUACAUAAGAGAUGAUCUGCUUUGAAAAAAUUCUCAUGGGGCAUGUGUUAAAGGAAUUAAAUUCAUUGCAUUGCAUUUUGAUUUUAGUUUAUUUCUCCUUUUUGCUAGAGGAAAAGGUAAUUAAAAGUUAUUAUUUGUUGAGUUCGGUUGGGUGAUGAAUUUCAUUCAUAUGUCUUUUACCGAUUUUGGUUGGCAAGUAUUAGCUUAUAGGCUUUUUGUAUAUUGAAACAUGCUGGAUUUCACUUACCUUUACAAUGCUUGUGCAUUAUUUCUUAGGAGGUUGUUCUUGGUGCAUGUCUCACAGGUAUAGGGCCUUGCGAAAUUUGCUGGGCGUGGGUUUGGGUGGGUUCCAGCAAUGCCUCUGUUGAAGAAAAAGCCGUUCACUUUGUUGGAACCACCCAAGGAUUUGAAGCCUCAUGAACUUGUAUAUCAAGUUCGCUUCACGAAGGAGAUAUUUCGGGAUUAUCAGAUGUAUUUGAACCGAACAAAUUUAUAUCGGCAGAGAACUUGGAGUUGCAAAAUUAGUGGAAAAGCUAACUUGACUUUUGAAGAGGCUUUGGUGUCUGAAAAGCAUGUGGCAGAGAAGGUUCAAGAGAUACCCAAAGUGCUUGUGGCACCUGCAUUGCAUAUUAUACAAUAUA
Molecule: unclassified non-coding RNA, 1175 nt
Filed under: Hevea brasiliensis (rubber tree)
Lineage: Eukaryota; Viridiplantae; Streptophyta; Magnoliopsida; Malpighiales; Euphorbiaceae
Source: RNAcentral